RNAcentral lists this transfer RNA (75 nucleotides) under Myxococcales bacterium. Its description in RNAcentral is "tRNA-Pro". It matches the Rfam family "tRNA". Rfam says of the family: Transfer RNA (tRNA) molecules are approximately 80 nucleotides in length. The record is from RNAcentral. Lineage: Bacteria; Pseudomonadati; Myxococcota; Myxococcia; Myxococcales.
CGGGAUGUAGCUCAGCCUGGUGAGAGCGCCUGCUCGGGGAGCAGGAGGUCGCAGGUUCAAAUCCUGUCAUCCCGA